Molecule: transfer RNA, 90 nt
Filed under: Arundinibacter roseus
Lineage: Bacteria; Pseudomonadati; Bacteroidota; Cytophagia; Cytophagales; Spirosomataceae
Description: Cytophaga sp. DMA-K-7a tRNA-Ser
Rfam family: tRNA
About the family: Transfer RNA (tRNA) molecules are approximately 80 nucleotides in length.
Source: RNAcentral
AGAGAGGUGCCCGAGUGGUUGAAGGGGCACGCCUGGAAAGCGUGUAUGCGGGUAACCGUAUCGAGAGUUCGAAUCUCUUCCUCUCUGCUA